RNAcentral lists this ribosomal RNA (392 nucleotides) under uncultured Gammaproteobacteria bacterium. RNAcentral's name for it is "bacterial SSU rRNA". It matches the Rfam family "Bacterial small subunit ribosomal RNA", at positions 370 to 779 of the family's 1533-position model. Lineage: Bacteria; Pseudomonadati; Pseudomonadota; Gammaproteobacteria. The record is from RNAcentral.
AAUGGGGGAAACCCUGAUCCAGCAAUGCCGCGUGAGUGAUGAAGGCCUUAGGGAUGUAAAACUCUUUCAGAAGUGAAGAUGAUGACGGUAACUUCAGAAGAAGCUCCGGCUAACUCCGUGCCAGCGGCCGCGGUAAUACGGAGGGAGCUAGCGUUGUUCGGAAUUACUGGGCGUAAAGGGCGUGUAGGCUGUUAGGUAAGUCAGAGGUGAAAUCCCUAAGCUCAACUUAGGAACUGCCUUUGAUACUAUCUUACUAGAGAUCGAGAGAAGUUGGCGGAAUUCCAAGUGUAGAGGUGAAAUUCGUAGAUAUUUGGAAGAACACCAGUGGCGAAAGCGGCCAACUGGCUCGUAUCUGACGCUGAGACGCGAAAGCGUGGGUAGCAAACAGGAUU